Gregarina niphandrodes is the source of this 79-nucleotide transfer RNA. It matches the Rfam family "tRNA". Rfam says of the family: Transfer RNA (tRNA) molecules are approximately 80 nucleotides in length. Their secondary structure includes four short double-helical elements and three loops (D, anti-codon, and T loops). NCBI's taxonomy places the organism in Eukaryota, Apicomplexa, Conoidasida, Eugregarinorida, Gregarinidae. The record is from Rfam.
CCCCGGGUAGCUCAGUUAGUGGAGCGUCUGACUGUAGACAGAUAUCAGGUAGUCGGCGGUUCGAUUCCGUCCCACGGGA